GUGUGGCUUCUGCUUGGUUGGAAUGAAAACCUGUACACACACUGGUCCUUUGUGGAUCUGAUUGGACACCCCUGAUCUAGCUAGUCUAGCUCACUCAUCUAGCUAUUGGCUUAUCUGUGCAUAUUUCCACAGGUUGAAUUUUGAGCAGUGAAGUACCAAUAUCUCCACAGGGUUCUGAAGGAUUUGGGAACUGGUCAUGCAGAGAGAUCAGGGGAUUGGGAAUGUAUUUUCUGGCCUUGAUCCACAUUAUACUUGAACUUGCCCUGAAAGGCACAAGGUACAGCUUCCAGUCAUGUUAUGCGGUCACAGGGGAACCUGGAGCCUAUCCCAGGAAGCAUCGGGCACAAGGCGGGGUGCACCCUGGACACGGUGCCAGUCCAUCGCAGGGCACAAAUUUGUGUAAUUUCAUUCUGAAAUGCAAACUUUUUAAGAAAACUUGAGAACUUCCACAGAUACUGUCAUAAAAAAAAAGAGGUCGUUAGAAAUGAUAUAAUUUUGUAUCAUCCCUUUGUGCUAUUGUAGCUGUUUCAGUAGCUAGAUAAUAGCAAACUGAUCUAUAUAAAUCAGAAGAGCUGACAGUGCACAGAGAACCUUAAAAAAUAAAUAAAAAUAUAUAUCUUUACG
Molecule: long non-coding RNA, 624 nt
Organism: Ictalurus punctatus (channel catfish)
Lineage: Eukaryota; Metazoa; Chordata; Actinopteri; Siluriformes; Ictaluridae
Source: Ensembl